GACGAACGCUGGCGGCGUGCUUAACACAUGCAAGUCGAACGGAAAGGCCCUGCUUUUGUGGGGUGCUCGAUUGGCGAACGGGUGAGUAACACGUGUGUAUCCUGCCCUUGUCUUUGGGAUAACUUCAGGAAACUGGGGCUAAUACCUGAUAGGAUCUCCUGCUGCAUGGUGGGGGUUGGAAAGUUUCGGCGGUUGGGGAUGGACUCGCUGCUUAUCAGCUUGUUGGUGGGGUAGUGGCUUACCAAGGCUUUGACGGGUAGCCGGCCUGAGAGGGUGACCGGGCACAAUGGGACUGAGGUACGGAGAAGAGUGCAACGGGAGGCAGCAGUGGGGAAUAUUGCACAAUGGGGGGAAGCCAGAUGCAGAAACGCCGCGUGCGGGAUGACGGCCUUCGGGUUGUAAACCGAUGUAGCAUGUGACGAAGCGUGAGUGACGGUAAUGGGUAAAGAAGCACCGGCUAACUACGUG
This 468-nucleotide ribosomal RNA is filed under the name uncultured bacterium. RNAcentral's name for it is "partial 16S ribosomal RNA". It matches the Rfam family "Bacterial small subunit ribosomal RNA", at positions 28 to 507 of the family's 1533-position model. The record is from RNAcentral.